GCUCAUGUGGCUUAGUAGGUAGAGUGCUUGCCUAGCACGUAUGAGGACCUGUGUUGAAUUCCCAGCUCGGCA
Molecule: transfer RNA, 72 nt
Filed under: Mus musculus (house mouse)
Lineage: Eukaryota; Metazoa; Chordata; Mammalia; Rodentia; Muridae
Description: tRNA-Ala
Source: RNAcentral